Molecule: long non-coding RNA, 1606 nt
Organism: Manacus vitellinus (golden-collared manakin)
Lineage: Eukaryota; Metazoa; Chordata; Aves; Passeriformes; Pipridae
Exons: 8
Source: RefSeq, a predicted model, not a curated record
GCUGGGGAGAAUGGAAGAAACUCUGCCUUUAUACAGGCAUAAAACCCAAUGGCUGUCUCUUGGCCAGUGUUCCUGAUUUUCCAGUAAGCUGUGUGCUGCACGGAGGUGUAGAACCCUAAUGGCUUGUUGUAUGCCAUUAAAAGAGCAAGUCAGACUUCUGUGGGCUUUCAAAACCAAAUGAAUGAUGGUCUUGACCAGCACUGCGGUGUUGCUAAUGACCUCAUUGCUGACCACAGCUGCUGGCAGCCAGGCUCCCAUUGCCACUGCAUUGCUGAUAGAAACACCAUUUUCUUUGAAUCUCAGAGGCAGAUGUGCAGAUGGGAGAGAAGCCGUGGUGCUGUGAGCAGAGUCCCAAGUUUUUAUCAGUGUUUUUGCAGAGUGGAACUGGAAGUUGCUGACACACUCCAGGCAAUAACAUGGAGCACAGGGAAAAGUGCCUGCAUCAGUGGCACAGGGAGAGCAGGUUGUGGCACAUGAGGAAUGUGAACAGGAGUACGUUGCCAGGGCAACAGAGUGUAAGCAGGAGCACAGCACCUUGCAGAUCACAAAGGCAAAGCUGCAGAAAGAAAUUUCAGCGAGUUUCUCUCUCCCUUUUGCAAUGGUUUCAUGGAACAACAAAAACUGCUUUGAGGCACGUUGCAGAAAUGGCUGGAAGCUGGAUUCAGGAGUGGGAGGUGGUUCUGCAGAGAGUGACAGGGACCAAACCCUUGGACCAGGUGUGGGGACAGUUGCCUGCAAGAGAGGAGAAAAUUCUGCUUGGAGACCUGGGCAUGAGGCGCAUAACUCAUGGAUUUCCUGCGUCUCCAGAUAAGCGUUUACACCUGAGACAUCAGAGUCCAGGGAGUGAAGAGCAGCCUGGCUGCAGGGACAAGGGCAUGUGGCUCUGUUCAGAGUGAGCAGAAAAGCCAGGAAUGAAGAAGCAGCCUGUUGCUUUGGCAGUGUUUGAGGAAAGAUCUCCCUUUCCCAUGGCUUCAGAGAGUUGGAGACAAGGUCACGCUGGUCUGAGGAAAGCCAAAUAGCUUCUGGAAAUCCCAAAUCAGACUGACACUGCAAGAUCUGUCCAUCAUUCAAAUUUAGAUGAAGUCACCUUCCACGUUGCUUUCACUGACAUUUAGGAUUUUUUUUUGUUUGGUAUUGGCUGGUUUCUGUGAAAUCCAACAGCUCUGCUCCUCUAAGCUCUAGCCAAGAAAAUCUCCACCGUUUUUGUCCUCUGUGCAGAAUCUAAUUUCAUAGAAACUGAACAUUAAUUCAGAUAAAAUAUGUAGAUACAGAAUCUCCUUAAAGCAGUCUUCUAUGAAGUCUGCAGGAAGGCAGCUGACUGCAACCAGACUGGGCCACAGAAAGAACUCUGGGACAAGGUGCACUUGCCAACUGCCAGGCAGUGGACAAUAUUUCUAUUUUUUGUUGGCUUAGGAGACUGCAUUUUUGGCUCCUUAAAGCAAUUCUGGACAAGAAACUAUUUGCUGGAUCUUCCUGUACAAUUUUUAAUUUUUUUUUCUGUUUUAAUUAUAAUAAAUUUUAAAAUGUAGAAAGUCAAAAGGAUUAUUAUCUGUUCUUUGUAAGACUCUAUGGGGAAGCCCAAAGUUGAAGCAAGGUGGCAGAACCU